GGGUCGGUAGCUCAAUUGGUAGAGCACCUGAUUCCAAAUCAGGCGGUUGAGGGUUCAAUUCCUUCCCGGCCCGCCA
RNAcentral lists this transfer RNA (76 nucleotides) under Planctomycetota bacterium. Its description in RNAcentral is "tRNA-Trp". It matches the Rfam family "tRNA". From Rfam's summary of the family: Transfer RNA (tRNA) molecules are approximately 80 nucleotides in length. Their secondary structure includes four short double-helical elements and three loops (D, anti-codon, and T loops). Lineage: Bacteria; Pseudomonadati; Planctomycetota. The record is from RNAcentral.